RNAcentral lists this ribosomal RNA (408 nucleotides) under uncultured bacterium. Its description in RNAcentral is "bacterial SSU rRNA". It matches the Rfam family "Bacterial small subunit ribosomal RNA", at positions 46 to 417 of the family's 1533-position model. The record is from RNAcentral.
GGAUUAGGCAUGCAAGCCGAGCGGGAUUCUAAUUCAAUCUUCGGAAGAGAAGUUAGAUGAGAGCGGCGAACGGGUUAGUAAUAAAUGGGUAAUUUACCUCUUUGUUCGGGAUAGCCUUCGGAAACGAAGAUUAAUACCGGAUGUGUNUCAGGUAGCUGCAUAGUACCUUAUAUAAAGGCGGGGAUUCUUCGGAACCUAGUCGCAAAGAGAUAGGCCCAUUUCCUAUCAGCUUGUUGGUGAGGUAAUAGGCUCACCAAGGCUUACGGGUAGUUAGGUCUAGAGAGGAUGAUCAGCAACACUGGGACUGAGACACUAGCCCAGACUCCUACGGGAGGCUAGCAGUCGAGAAUCAUUGUACAAUGCACGAAAGUAGUGAACAUGCGACGCCGCGUAGGAGGAAGACGGCCU